Alligator sinensis (Chinese alligator) is the source of this 565-nucleotide non-coding RNA. The record is from the annotation of a RefSeq genome assembly. Lineage: Eukaryota; Metazoa; Chordata; Crocodylia; Alligatoridae.
AGGAGCUCACUACAGGGACAGCGAGAGGGCAGGAAGCCCAGUGCCUCUUGGACGGCUGAGGAGGUGGACACACAGAUUGGCUCCACCAGACAGACUGCGGAGUGGGAGCCAAGCCCUGGCCCUGCCAUGCAGGGUCUCUGCAGCCUCCUCCUCCUCUGCGGGGCAGCGAGAUGGGCCCUGGCCCAGGUGUCCCAGCCACCCCGGCUCACGGCGCUGGAAGGAGGACGGCUCCACAUCUCCUGCAACCACAACAUCACCCCACAUCAGAGGAUGUACUGGUACCGGCAGCCCCCGCAGGGUCAGGGGGCCCCGAUCUUCCUGGGGAGCGGGUACGAUGGGACCUCGCCCGCAGGGGAACUCACCAUGGAAGUGUACCUGGCCUCCCGCUCCAGCACCCUCUCCCGGGACGGUGCCAGGCUGCAGGAUGCUGGCAUCUACUACUGCGCCACAGAGGACACAGUGACAGGGGUGGAGGCACCAGCUGCAUCAAAACCCCCGGCCCGACUUCCUGCCCCGUGCACCCAGGGCACAUGCUGUUGGCUGCUGCCCUGACUCCCCUCCCACA